CCGAGUGAGGGCUUCCGGCCCGACCUCCAACCCUUUGUUAUCAAAACCACUGUUGCCUCGGGGGCGACCCGGGCCCGUCGGCUUGGGGCCCCCGGUGGACAAUUCCAAAACACUGCAUCUUUGCGUCAGGUUUAAAAGUUUAAUUGAUUA
This 150-nucleotide unclassified non-coding RNA is filed under the name uncultured Capnodiales. Its description in RNAcentral is "sequence contains ITS1". The record is from RNAcentral. Lineage: Eukaryota; Fungi; Ascomycota; Dothideomycetes; Capnodiales.